UUUCAUUCGAAGUUCAGGAAACUAAUUGAACAAGUAUUUGAAAGUAAAUAAAUUUAGAUCCGAUUGAAAGAAACUAACCACAUGUUCCAAGUUCGUCCUUGCGUCACUAUGAGUUACAAGGUUUUCUCCCCAUAGAGAAGUCACUAUGAGUUACAAGGUUUCUCACCAUAGAGAAAAGCAAAGUGUCCCACAACACAGAUUCUAAAUUCGAUUCUUCCUUCUCGUUGAUUAAGAAAAAUCUAAUUUACAAAGUUUCG
RNAcentral lists this long non-coding RNA (257 nucleotides) under Prunus persica (peach). Its description in RNAcentral is "long non-coding RNA (PPER_LNC001585)". The record is from RNAcentral. Lineage: Eukaryota; Viridiplantae; Streptophyta; Magnoliopsida; Rosales; Rosaceae.